GAGAGGGUGAAGAUGGCGGUGGAGGGAAGAGUGGCCCUGGGAGAACUUCAGGAGUGAACUAAACCUGCCAGACUUUGCUCCCCGUGUGCUGCAGAAAACCAUGCAAGUGAAUUAAAUAUCCACAUGCCCAUGGGAGACUGGUUUGGAAGAUUGGAUCCUGUGAUGAACGGUCGCAGCUCCAGGCCAGCUUUAUUCCCAGACCGGCCACGCUGAUGGAUGUAGGUCAGCUGCAGCAUCUCUGGACCUCACAACCUCUCACCAUCAAGAAUAGUGGGAUAUCACCCGCCUCUGUCCUGGAACGUGUACCCAAGGAAUG
Non-coding RNA from Sus scrofa (pig), 316 nucleotides. NCBI's taxonomy places the organism in Eukaryota, Metazoa, Chordata, Mammalia, Artiodactyla, Suidae. The record is from RefSeq and is a predicted model, not a curated record.